This 404-nucleotide ribosomal RNA is filed under the name uncultured Glomeromycotina. RNAcentral describes it as "SSU rRNA". It matches the Rfam family "Eukaryotic small subunit ribosomal RNA", at positions 596 to 1002 of the family's 1831-position model. Lineage: Eukaryota; Fungi; Glomeromycota. The record is from RNAcentral.
AGCGUAUAUUAAAGUUGUUGCAGUUAAAAAGAUCGUAGUUGAAUUUCGGGAUUUAUCCGUUGGUCGGGCUUUUGGGUCUGUACUGGCGUGAUGGAUUUCUACCUUCUGAAUAACCGGCAUGUCAUUAAUUUGGUGCGCCGGGGAAGCAGGACUGUUACCUUGAAAAAAUUAGAGUGCUUAAAGCAGGCUAUUGCCUGAAUACAUUANCAUGGAAUAAUGAAAUAGGACGGCAUGGUUCUAUUUUGUUGGUUUCUAGGAUCACCGUAAUGAUUAAUAGGGAUAGUUGGGGGCAUUAGUAUUCAAUUGUCAGAGGUGAAAUUCUUGGAUUUAUUGAAGACUAACUUCUGCAAAAGCAUUUGCCAAGGAUGUUUUCAUUAAUCAAGAACGAAAGUUAGGGGAUCGAA